GCAAGCGUUAUCCGGUUUUAUUGGGUUUAAAGGGUGCGUAGGCGGCUUAUUAAGUCACUUGUGAAAUCCUAGUGCUUAACGCUAGAACUGCGAUUGAUACUAUUAGGCUUGAGUUAAGAAGAGGUAGGCAGAAUUUAUGGUGUAGUAGUGAAAUGCUUAGAUAUCAUAAGGAAUACCAAUAGCGUAGGCAGCUUACUGGUCUUUAACUGACGCUGAGGCACGAAAGCGUGGGGAGCAAACAGGAUUAGAUACCCUGGUAGUCCACGCCGUAAACGAUGAUCACUCGAUAUACAUAAUGCUUUAUGUGUGUCUAAGCGAAAGCGUU
This 325-nucleotide ribosomal RNA is filed under the name Candidatus Cardinium sp. RNAcentral's name for it is "bacterial SSU rRNA". It matches the Rfam family "Bacterial small subunit ribosomal RNA", at positions 534 to 861 of the family's 1533-position model. Lineage: Bacteria; Pseudomonadati; Bacteroidota; Cytophagia; Cytophagales; Amoebophilaceae. The record is from RNAcentral.